Molecule: non-coding RNA, 71 nt
Filed under: Actinoalloteichus spitiensis RMV-1378
Lineage: Bacteria; Bacillati; Actinomycetota; Actinomycetes; Pseudonocardiales; Pseudonocardiaceae
Description: L31-Actinobacteria ribosomal protein leader
Rfam family: L31-Actinobacteria ribosomal protein leader
Source: RNAcentral
ACGGCUCCGGUUCACCCCCUCGCCCGGCCCCGGUAGCACCGGGCUGGCCAGGCAGGGCGGACCCGGCGGCC